RNAcentral lists this transfer RNA (75 nucleotides) under Lysobacteraceae bacterium. RNAcentral describes it as "tRNA-OTHER". It matches the Rfam family "tRNA". Rfam says of the family: Transfer RNA (tRNA) molecules are approximately 80 nucleotides in length. Their secondary structure includes four short double-helical elements and three loops (D, anti-codon, and T loops). The record is from RNAcentral. Lineage: Bacteria; Pseudomonadati; Pseudomonadota; Gammaproteobacteria; Lysobacterales; Lysobacteraceae.
GCGAUGAUUCGCUCAGCAGGUAGAGCGGCGGAUGAAAAUCCGCGGUCGCCGGUUCGAAUCCGGCUCAUUGCACCA